ACGGGGUGCAGCAGGCGCGAAAACUCCGCAAUACACGAAAGUGUGACGGGGGAACCCCGAGUGCACUCACGCAAGUGAGCGCUUUUGUGAAGUGUAAAUAGCUUCAUGAAUAAGAGCUGGGUAAGACCGGUGCCAGCCGCCGCGGUAACACCGGCAGCUCGAGUGGUGAUCGCUAUUAUUGGGCCUAAAGCGUCCGUAGCCGGUUUGGUAAGUCCUUGGGCAAAUCCUGUCGCUUAACGGCAGGAAUUCUGAGGAUACUGUCAGACUUGAGGCCGAGAGAGGUCGGAGGUACUUCUGGGGUAGCGGUGAAAUGCUAUAAUCCUAGAGGGACCACCGGUGGCGAAAGCGUCCGACUAGAGCGGGCCUGACGGUAAGGGACGAAAGCCAGGGGAGCGAACGGGAUUAGAUACCCCGGUAGUCCUGGCCGUAAACGCUGUGGGCUAGGUGUUGCAUGCUCUACGAGGGCGUGCAGUGCCGAAGAGAAGUUGAUAAGCCUACCGCCUGGAAGUACUAUCGCAAGAU
Molecule: ribosomal RNA, 522 nt
Filed under: uncultured archaeon
Lineage: Archaea
Description: bacterial SSU rRNA
Rfam family: Archaeal small subunit ribosomal RNA
Source: RNAcentral